This 253-nucleotide ribosomal RNA is filed under the name uncultured bacterium. RNAcentral describes it as "partial 16S ribosomal RNA". It matches the Rfam family "Bacterial small subunit ribosomal RNA", at positions 524 to 776 of the family's 1533-position model. The record is from RNAcentral.
UACGGGGGGGGUAAGCGUUGUUCGGAAUUACUGGGCGUAAAGGGCUCGUAGGCGGCCAACUAAGUCGGACGUGAAAUCCCUCAGCUUAACUGGGGAACUGCGUCCGAUACUGGAUGGCUUGGAUUUGGGAGAGGGAUGCGGAAUUCCGGGUGUAGUGGUGAAAUGCGUAGAGAUCCGGAGGAACCCCAGAGGCGAAGGCGACGCCCUGGCUCGUACCUGACGCUCAGCCACGAAAGCAUGGGGAGCGAACGGG